Phacochoerus africanus (Common warthog) is the source of this 2828-nucleotide long non-coding RNA. RefSeq lists it as uncharacterized. Lineage: Eukaryota; Metazoa; Chordata; Mammalia; Artiodactyla; Suidae. The record is from RefSeq and is a predicted model, not a curated record. The transcript has 4 exons.
UGUAGCUCCCACUCUAAGGAGAAGGCAGCCUGAGUGAAACUCGGCGUCGCAGCUUCCUUGCGUUCCGCCCCUAUAGGAGGAUUUGCCAGAUGGACUACCCUUGCAAAGGAUGAAAGAUUUGAAGGUGACCUAUGCAUUCAGGAAGCAGUGAAAAGUUCUGUUUGGCGAAGGCAAAGGCAGACCCAGCCACUUCCUCUUUCUGCUGAGGACAGCAGAAGUUGAAUGAGAGACGAGUUCCCCAGAUGUUGCAACACCCAGGAACAAGAGGGCAAGUAACAGAUGGGUGUUUGCAGGCGGGACAGUCCCCCAGGGCGAGGGGGGGGCAGGGCCUUGGAGAGGCCUUUGCUCAUAGGGCAGCUGCCUUCCAAGUGCCCUAUGAAGCCUCACCAUCAGCCUGAAGUCGAAUCCCCCGUGUCAAACAGAAGGAUGCGAGCAGGAGGAAAGAGGCUCAGGCAAGGGUGGAGCUGGGGUGGGGGAUGAUGGGAGACGGACCCCCUGGCCCAGGGUCCUGCUGCGUGAGCCAGGGUUCCACCAAUCCUCUACUCACACUCAGCCCCCAGCCAGUCUAAUCUUACAGGUGAAGCGACCUGCCAACCUAGCAGGGGCAGGGAGCCAGCUGGCUUUCGCUCCGCCUCCAGGCCAUACUCUGCUGCUCUGUUGAUCUCCCUGAUGUCGUGGUCUGGGCACGUGGGCCAGAAGAAGAAUUUCCAGAUUCAAGACAAGGUGAAGAACAGACACGCUUAUUGAAGCAAGAGGCGAUGUGAACACAGCAGGCUGACUUCCUGAUAAUCAGACAGAGCUGACACUGAGUGUGGGAUCAAGUCUGUUUUUAUCGCCCAGGGAGCAGAGAGGGCUCAGGAUACACCUGCUGGUUGGUUGGGGAAAGAGGGGUCUUAUGAUCCCCUUGCUGGUUGGGGGCCUCUAGAAGCAGGGCGAGGAAUGGACCACACGCCUUUCCUACAGGGGGCAAGGAGUAGGCCAGGCUGUUCAAGGUGGGGAGGGGGCAUUACAUAGAGAGGGGUGGGCAACAAGGGUCUGGUAAUGCUGGCCCUGGCCAGAGGCUUUGAGUUCCAUUUCCUUGAAGAGGCGUUGAAACCCAAAGCCUGGCAGGGAUGGUCCGUCCGUGGCACUCAGCCCUCCCGCGGCUCGUUUUUCAUGUGAUCAGCGCUAGGAGGCCCCCCUCCCCACUCCCCCCGUUCCUGGACAGCCAGGCCCCUCUGUGCCCCCAGAGCACACGGUCUUCUCGUCCUCUCCUCCCUCCACACCCACCUCGCCCCUUUUGCCCAGGAAAGACCUGCUCCUUCUUGAAGGAGUUACUCCAGGAUCUCCACCUCCAGGAAGCCCACCCCUCUUACCCCCGCAUCAUUCCUCCCUUACACGGCACACCUGCUUGGGGGGCAGGAUUCCUUCUUGAUCCAAAUCCCAUGGCUCAGUGCCCUUCACACACCUGAACCAAGUCAAGUGGGCAUUUAGUUAAGAUGCAGAUUCUUAGGUCUGGGAUGGGGCCCCAAGUGCUGCCUUUCCCACCAUCCCCGGGUGAAGCCCAAGGGUGUUCACAAAACCACACUUGAGGGGCAAGGACCUGGGCCCUCCUGUACUUCUGAGACCCCGAAUCACAUCAAGCCCUGCUCUGAAUUACUGAGGGGUCGUUUGACGCCAAUGCCUUGAUGCCGAACAGCCGUGCCCCGCAAGAACCCGCCCCGCUUUGUCUUUGGGGACUCUCGGCCUCACAGUGGCUGACAAGCAAACCUCAGGUGCCACAGGGAAGGUGAUCUUCACCUACAAGUGAGGCUGGAAGGGCAACCCCCCUUGAGCCCCCAGCACCUCUCAUCUCGGCCUCCUUGGCAACGGGAAGCCGAGUUUCCCACGGCACGAUGAGCCCUGGCCCAAGGAAGGAGGGGCUGCCCAAAGCCAGGAAAAUGCAGGCCUGUCUUCACAGACCAACCCGGCUUCCCUGCUGUAUAGACUCCCUGGAGGCCCAGCUGUGGGUAGACGUCACUGCUUGAACCCACAGGCCUUUAGUCCCCCCCGUGCCCCCCCCCCCGCCACAGCCACUCCCAGCUCACACACCGCCCACCCCGUCUCAUCGCUAAGCCACACCCCAGAGGUCAUGUUUCUCCUUUUAUUGGGAAGCAGACACGGGGCACACAAGGUGGGCAGCAGCCCGACGCCUCCUGGCGACACCCAGGACAAUGGUAGCCAGAGUCAAGGUCACCACGGUGGCCAGGCCCAAGCCCACCAUCACCGAGGUGGGGGAGGAGGUGGACCCUUCCACACCGUGGUCACUCGUCUUGCCCAGGAAGAUCAGAGGCCCCACUGUGACAUCUGCUUCAUCUGUCACUGCAAGACCAGACAUCCAGUGGUCACCACAGUCCCCGACCAGGAACCAGCAGGCCUCACUCACCCUCUGCUGGACCCACUGAAGCUCAAUUUCAGAGACAAGGAUCAAGCCCGAAGGGGCCGAAACCCCACCCGACCCAACGGGAGGAAGGGAAUUUGACAAAACCAGAGCUCAGGUCAGCCCGAGGGCUCUUGGCAAAGGCACCCACAUCCAGAAGUCCCUUUUCAUUCUUUAGGGUCCGACGCCCCGCCACCAACUCUGCAAAGGCCCUGAAGUUCCACCACCUUUGCCGAAGCCUUCUGCAGACCCGCACACCUUGGCCACCACCUAGUGGCUGAAAGCGCCAGCAGGGAAACCAAUUUGGUGACUCCAAUGAGCCAGGAGGCACUCCCAGCUGCCUGCCUUCUAUCUGCCCCAACAGAAAAGGGUCCUUUUAUAGUGUCCUGAUUCCAAGGAGGGAACCGCUUUCACCCUCAACUUCUUCCCA